RNAcentral lists this non-coding RNA (24 nucleotides) under Arabidopsis thaliana (thale cress). Lineage: Eukaryota; Viridiplantae; Streptophyta; Magnoliopsida; Brassicales; Brassicaceae. The record is from RNAcentral.
UAGAUCGUGUGAUGCUUCAUGUCA